This is a long non-coding RNA of Pezoporus flaviventris, 817 nucleotides long. RefSeq lists it as uncharacterized. NCBI's taxonomy places the organism in Eukaryota, Metazoa, Chordata, Aves, Psittaciformes, Psittacidae. The transcript is spliced from 3 exons. The record is from RefSeq and is a predicted model, not a curated record.
GUAGAGGAGGGUAAGAUGAACACCAGAGGCCUCCGUGGUAAUAAGCUGCAGCAAGAUGUAGGUGUGAAGCUGGUGAGCUGCUCUUUGCUGAUUGAGCUGCAGUCCUGACAUUGAUGGAUAUUACAAGUGAGGAAGCGUGUCCAUGACAGUGACCUUUGGAAAUUUGCAGUCAUCAGCAGCUUUGUCUGAGAAUGGGUAUUGCUGACAGCAGUGUCUGAAGACAAAGGCAUCACAUAAAUCAUAGCUUGUUGGGUUGUUCAGAAGGGACUGUGCCUGAAUGGCCAUCAAAUGCUUCCUGAAGAGGAUGAACAUACCAAGGACAGAAGAAAAGCUGGAACAAAAGGCCAGGACAGCCACGGCAAUCAGCCAUGUCUGCUGAAGAUGAUGGAAGGUGCCUUUAGCUCAGGAGAUCACCACUUGGUAAGUGUUUAGCACUCUUUUUGGGACGCAUGUUUCCAUACCUGUAGGGAAGUCCAGAGGCAGGCUGGACCUGUGGGAUAGGCAGGACUUGGAGCAUGUUUCCUGGGCAUGGUGUGCCCCAGCUUACUGGCCAUGUAGACAGAUGUUGAUGGGGUGUUUCUUCAGCCUUUGUGCAGUUCAGAGCACAGCUGGAGUAACCUCUUCUCCACUCAGCAUGAGCAGAGCUGCUGGUGUCUGGUUAGAAGGUAUUAAGUAGACAAGUCCUGGUGUCAGAUACUAAAGAGGGCUUUGUCGUGGAACAUUAAUGUCAGAAGUCUUAUGUUUGCAGGUAAGGGAAGACAUGCUAGCUGGAAUUUGCCAUAGUAUCCUAGUACUGUUGCCAAAAAGGCAAACACUC